CAAAUGAUGGAAUUCUAAUGACCCGGUUGCGUUAGCUUUGCCGAGCGCCCCUUGAGGUGCUAGGCGGGACGGUUGUGCUGCCCCUUGUUUCACCAUGCUCUUCCCUUUUUGGGAACCAAGGAAAAUUUGGKGGUGUUGCUUGUUGCCUCGGAUGCSGAGCGCGAAGCGAGCMUGAUGCCUGUCAUCAUUCGCUCAUUCGGAGCUCUCGAUUGCUCGSAAAGAGAGAUUGCCGGCUGGGUUUUGGCUUUCSACUCGUCGAACCAGCUCAAAACCUCGCCGUCAUCUUCAAUGAAUGCUACCUGGUUGAUCCUGCCASUAGUCAUAUGCUUGUCUCAAAGAUUAAGCCAUGCAUGUGUAAGUA
RNAcentral lists this ribosomal RNA (361 nucleotides) under Pachyphytum oviferum. RNAcentral's name for it is "partial 18S ribosomal RNA". The stretch from base 297 to 361 matches the Rfam family "Eukaryotic small subunit ribosomal RNA", at positions 1 to 65 of the family's 1831-position model. Lineage: Eukaryota; Viridiplantae; Streptophyta; Magnoliopsida; Saxifragales; Crassulaceae. The record is from RNAcentral.